Panicum virgatum (switchgrass) is the source of this 308-nucleotide long non-coding RNA. RefSeq lists it as uncharacterized. The record is from RefSeq and is a predicted model, not a curated record. The transcript is spliced from 2 exons. NCBI's taxonomy places the organism in Eukaryota, Viridiplantae, Streptophyta, Magnoliopsida, Poales, Poaceae.
CCCCUAGUGACCGUCCUUCCCGGCAAGUUGGACAUGAUGUAUGCCUUCUCGCUAUCUCCUUCGCAAGGGAACCUGACUGAAAGAUACCAAUGCACAGCUACACUAAUUUUCAUCUCGGAUAAUCAACACUCGUGCUAUCGAGCUUGCAGAGUUUGUAACUCGAAAAUGAUUCCAGGCCCAGAUGGAUACCAGUGCACAAAAGUUAGUGGUUGCCCAUGCACGCAAUUUGAUUGGAAGUAAGAUUACUUCAAGUAAAUUAUGUUUGUUUGUACAUAGGCCAUCUUAGAUUUAAUAUUAUGACCACCUUC